RNAcentral lists this ribosomal RNA (867 nucleotides) under Dictyocheirospora rotunda. Its description in RNAcentral is "partial large subunit ribosomal RNA". It matches the Rfam family "Eukaryotic large subunit ribosomal RNA", at positions 34 to 937 of the family's 3401-position model. Lineage: Eukaryota; Fungi; Ascomycota; Dothideomycetes; Pleosporales; Dictyosporiaceae. The record is from RNAcentral.
UUAAGCAUAUCAAUAAGCGGAGGAAAAGAAACCAACAGGGAUUGCCCUAGUAACGGCGAGUGAAGCGGCAACAGCUCAAAUUUGAAAUCUGGCCUUCUUUGGGGGUCCGAGUUGUAAUUUGCAGAGGGCGCUUUGGCGUCGGCAGCGGUCUAAGUUCCUUGGAACAGGACGUCACAGAGGGUGAGAAUCCCGUACGUGGUCGCCUGCCUUCGCCGUGUAAAGCCCCUUCGACGAGUCGAGUUGUUUGGGAAUGCAGCUCUAAAUGGGAGGUAAAUUUCUUCUAAAGCUAAAUACUGGCCAGAGACCGAUAGCGCACAAGUAGAGUGAUCGAAAGAUGAAAAGCACUUUGGAAAGAGAGUCAAACAGCACGUGAAAUUGUUGAAAGGGAAGCGCUUGCCGCCAGACUUGCCCGUGAAGGUUCUCCUCCUCGGGCAGGCCAGCAUCAGUUUGAGCGAUCGGAUAAUGGCCUCUGUCAUGUAUCUUCCUUCGGGAUGACCUUAUAGGGGAGUCGUAGUACGGUCAGCUCGGACUGAGGUCCGCGCAUUUGCUAGGAUGCUGGCGUAAUGGCUGCAAGCGGCCCGUCUUGAAACACGGACCAAGGAGUCUAACAUCUAUGCGAGUGUUUGGGUGUCAAGCCCGAGCGCGCAAUGAAAGUGAACGGAGGUGGGAACCCUCUCUGGGGGUGCACCAUCGACCGAUCCUGAAGUCUUCGGAUGGAUUUGAGUAAGAGCAUGGCUGUUGGGACCCGAAAGAUGGUGAACUAUGCUUGAAUAGGGUGAAGCCAGAGGAAACUCUGGUGGAGGCUCGCAGCGGUUCUGACGUGCAAAUCGAUCGUCAAAUUUGGGCAUAGGGGCGAAAGACUAAUCG